RNAcentral lists this ribosomal RNA (429 nucleotides) under Gemmatimonadota bacterium. RNAcentral's name for it is "Gemmatimonadetes bacterium partial 16S ribosomal RNA". It matches the Rfam family "Bacterial small subunit ribosomal RNA", at positions 355 to 776 of the family's 1533-position model. Lineage: Bacteria; Pseudomonadati; Gemmatimonadota. The record is from RNAcentral.
UAGGGAAUCUUCGGCAAUGGACGAAAGUCUGACCGAGCAACGCCGCGUGAGUGAAGAAGGUUUUCGGAUCGUAAAACUCUGUUGUUAGAUAAGAACAAGGACGGUAGUAACUGAACGUUCCCUGACGGUAUCUAACCAGAAAGCCACGGCUAACUACGUGCCAGCAGCCGCGGUAAUACGUAUGUGGCAAGCGUUGUCCGGAUUUAUUGGGCGUAAAGCGAGCGCAGGCGGUUUCUUAAGUAUGAUGUGAAAGCCCCCGGCUCAACCGGGGAGGGUCAUUGGAAACUGGGAGACUUGAGUGCAGAAGAGGAGAGUGGAAUUCCAUGUGUAGCGGUGAAAUGCGUAGAUAUAUGGAGGAACACCAGUGGCGAAGGCGGCUCUCUGGUCUGUAACUGACGCUGAGGCUCGAAAGCGUGGGGAGCAAACAGG